RNAcentral lists this unclassified non-coding RNA (502 nucleotides) under Hevea brasiliensis (rubber tree). The record is from RNAcentral. Lineage: Eukaryota; Viridiplantae; Streptophyta; Magnoliopsida; Malpighiales; Euphorbiaceae.
AGAACUGAAACAAGAAAUUGCAAACCAAAACAAACAAGCCCUUAGCGGCUUACAUCUCUGUUCGGAUAAAGAGACACGUGCAGCGUUUCCUUUAUUCCACUACUAUAUAUUAUAGUACUAACGCCUGCACCUGAUCAGGAACAGAGAUGGCUGAUUUUGACUUAAAUUGCUAGGACUAGACCCGGCACUGACUUCCCGAACUGACUGGAGAGUCUGCUCUCCCAAAUGGACGGGCAAUGCACGGGAGUUAUCUCCGCCGAUGAAGAUGAAGAUGAUGAAGACGGAGAUGAACAAUCAGAUGACUCAGAUUCUUGGUUACCAAGACGAGUAACAGUCAGUGAAGUGUUGAAGUACUCUCUGACUUGCGUAAUUAUCCCAUCCGUGACUGUCCACGCGUGAACCCAAGAAAUGGAGCGGCUAGAAUCGCACCCUUCAGCAAUCACGAUCGACCCGAAGGACCUGAUGAAUUCAGGGUUGAACUCAAACGUACCAGUAGAGGAGC